Long non-coding RNA from Xenopus laevis (African clawed frog), 1046 nucleotides. RefSeq lists it as uncharacterized. The transcript has 3 exons. The record is from RefSeq and is a predicted model, not a curated record. Lineage: Eukaryota; Metazoa; Chordata; Amphibia; Anura; Pipidae.
UGUAAGCUGGAAAGAGUCAAAACAAGAAAACAAAUUUAAAAACUAAAAAAAAAUUAAAAAAAAAAAAAGUUGCUUAGAAUUAACAAUUCUAUAACAUACUUUUAAAAGUUAAUUGAAAAGUGAACAACAUCUGUAAUUGAUGACAGUUUAAUAUGCUUUAUUUAAUACAAGUCUGUGUGUUUUUUGUGAGAUAACCAUGUAUUUCUCUUUAAAUAUAUCUUCAUGUGUCCAUAGAAAUGCAGAAAUGACUGGUUAAAUGCCAAUCUGAGGCAGUAUAACUGGAACCUGUUUGCUCAAACGUCUCACACUCCUGCGUGUAAGAGUCUUAAUUUCAAUUCUUUUGAAUGCACCAUAAGAUAAAAUCUGUAAAUCAUGUAAUUGGUAUGUUAAUUUGAACACAUUCAGCAUAUAUGACUUCUAAUUAGGGAUGGGCGAAUUUUUUCGCCGAAAAAAUGACGCCCAUAGACUUGUAUGGUGUUGUGUGUCAAAAUAAAAAAGGCGCGCGUCAAAACAAUUUCGCCGCGUGACAGUUUUAUCAGCGAAUGUUUGGCGAAACCAAACAGGACAAAUUCGCCCAUCCCUAUUUCUAAUUUAAUUGUUGCAUGUAUUUAUUAAGUGUUGUAGUAUUUAUUUACAAUUCCAUCUCAGUGUUGUGCUUUCGCAGUGCAUUAAUAUCGUAACGAAUAGCUGCACAAUCCACCUAAAUUAAUUUAUAUGAUGAAGCAAAUCCAGCCAGGAAUCCAGCACCCACGUAUCACAACAGCUUGGGGAGCUGCAGAUGGCUUGUUUCUAGUGGGACCAUCCUGUUGAGCACAGCAAGUGAGAUGUAAAGAGACGUUCCAACAGAUUUGGUGGUGGGGGAAGUCCUUCCAGAGAAAAGUCUUUACCUUCUCACUGUUGCAGACAUUUCUACAGAUAUUUCUUGGCAGCGUCUCUAUGCACCAACGGCAGAGCAAUAAGGCAGUUUUGUGUCAGUAGAUUUCUCUAGUUCAGCUUCUUGGGACAAUCAAGUACAGAAUAUUACCAAUAUGGUACUUAAGAAGGAG